Molecule: ribosomal RNA, 694 nt
Filed under: Mucor hiemalis f. hiemalis
Lineage: Eukaryota; Fungi; Mucoromycota; Mucoromycetes; Mucorales; Mucoraceae
Description: LSU rRNA
Rfam family: Eukaryotic large subunit ribosomal RNA
Source: RNAcentral
UAACAAUGAUUCCCUCAGUAACGGCGAGUGAACAGGGAAAAGCUCAAAGUUGGAACCUCCUGGCCCUAGGCCUGGCGGAUUGUAAACUAAAGCUCUCGAGUAGUUCGGCUAGCCUGGUAAAAAAGUUCUCUGGAAAGGGACGACAUGGAGGGUGAAAUCCCCGUCUUUGGCCAGAGCAUAGUCCAACGUUUGCUUGGAAGUGAAGAGUCAGGUUGUUUGGUAUUGCAGCCUAAAGCUGGAGGUAAAUCUCUCCUAAAGCUAAAUAUUGACGAAAGACCGAUAGCGAACAAGUACCGUGAGGGAAAGAUGAAAAGCACUUUGAAAAGAGGGUCAAAAAGUACGUGAAAUUGCUGAAAGGGAACCGUAUGAAAUCAGCCUGUCUCUUUGGUAAUCAACCUGGAAUUCGUUCUGGGUGCACUUGCCGGUGAGUCAGCCUGCGACAAUUUGACUUGGGGGAAAAAAUCGGGGGGAAUGUGGCCUCGGCUUCGGUCGUGGUGUUAUAGCCCUUUGAAAAAUACCCUGGGUUGGAUUGAGGACUGCAGCGAGCCAUUAGGGAUGAACUGUGGGCGCUUGGCUUUGCCUUGAAAGAAAUCUCUGCUUCGGGUGGUGUCUUUCUCGGCGGGGUCAACUCGCCUACUUUUUCUUUUUCUCGCUUAGGUCGCAGGCAUAAUGAUUUUAUAUAACCCGUCUUGAA